Molecule: long non-coding RNA, 197 nt
Organism: Gambusia affinis (western mosquitofish)
Lineage: Eukaryota; Metazoa; Chordata; Actinopteri; Cyprinodontiformes; Poeciliidae
Exons: 3
Source: RefSeq, a predicted model, not a curated record
GAGAAAUAAGUUUAAUGAAGUCCAACAAGAACAUAAAGCCAGGAACCACAGGAAAUGUUUGUACUUGGCGGGGGGACGAGGAAUCGGAGGAAACAGAACUUUGACCAGCCUGAGAGACACAAGGAGACAACGAGACGAUUUUGGGGAAAUACGAAACAUGACGUCACCUACUGUACAAAGCUUCAGGAAACCAAAAG